Molecule: ribosomal RNA, 468 nt
Filed under: uncultured bacterium
Lineage: Bacteria
Description: partial 16S ribosomal RNA
Rfam family: Bacterial small subunit ribosomal RNA
Source: RNAcentral
GACGAACGCUGGCGGCGUGCUUAACACAUGCAAGUCGAACGGAAAGGCCCUGCUUUUGUGGGGUGCUCGAGUGGCGAACGGGUGAGUAACACGUGAGUAACCUGCCCUUGACUUUGGGAUAACUUCAGGAAACUGGGGCUAAUACCGGAUAGGAGCUCCUGCUGCAUGGUGGGGGUUGGAAAGUUUCGGCGGUUGGGGAUGGACUCGCGGCUUAUCAGCUUGUUGGUGGGGUAGUGGCUUACCAAGGCUUUGACGGGUAGCCGGCCUGGGAGGGUGACCGGCCACAUUAGGACUAAGGUACGGCCCAGACUCGUACGGGAGGCAGCAGUGGGGAAUAUUGCACAGUGAGCGGAAGCCAGAUGCAGCGACGCCGCGUGCGGGAUGACGGCCUUCGGGUUGUGAACCGCUUUCGCCUGUGACGAAGCGUGAGUGACGGUAAUGGGUAAAGAAGCACCGGCUAACUACGUG